UCCUUAGUAGCUCAGCGGUAGAGCGGUCGGCUGUUAACCGAUAGGUCGUUGGUUCAAACCCAACCUGGGGAG
RNAcentral lists this transfer RNA (72 nucleotides) under Neotessella volvocina. RNAcentral's name for it is "tRNA-Asn". It matches the Rfam family "tRNA". From Rfam's summary of the family: Transfer RNA (tRNA) molecules are approximately 80 nucleotides in length. Lineage: Eukaryota; Synurophyceae; Synurales; Neotessellaceae. The record is from RNAcentral.